This 253-nucleotide ribosomal RNA is filed under the name uncultured bacterium. RNAcentral's name for it is "partial 16S ribosomal RNA". It matches the Rfam family "Bacterial small subunit ribosomal RNA", at positions 524 to 776 of the family's 1533-position model. The record is from RNAcentral.
UACAGAGGUCCCGAGCGUUGUUCGGAUUCACUGGGCGUAAAGGGUGCGUAGGCGGGUCUUUAAGUCAGGGGGGAAAUCCUGGAGCUCAACUCCAGAACUGCCUUUGAUACUGAAGAUCUUGAGUUCGGGAGAGGUGAGUGGAACUGCGAGUGUAGAGGUGAAAUUCGUAGAUAUUCGCAAGAACACCAGUGGCGAAGGCGGCUCACUGGCCCGAUACUGACGCUGAGGCACGAAAGCGUGGGGAGCAAACAGG